CACGGUCACGCUCCGGGGCACAUCCCCCUGG
This 31-nucleotide small RNA is filed under the name Bombyx mori (domestic silkworm). RNAcentral's name for it is "ovarian small RNA-13033". The record is from RNAcentral. Lineage: Eukaryota; Metazoa; Arthropoda; Insecta; Lepidoptera; Bombycidae.